AGCGUGAUACUUUAAAUAAAAGGUUUGAUUUGCGUUCAAAAAUUGGGGAGUAUUUCCUCUUACGUUA
This 67-nucleotide transfer RNA is filed under the name Nototeredo knoxi. Its description in RNAcentral is "tRNA-Ala". Lineage: Eukaryota; Metazoa; Mollusca; Bivalvia; Myida; Teredinidae. The record is from RNAcentral.